RNAcentral lists this long non-coding RNA (1486 nucleotides) under Capra hircus (goat). RNAcentral describes it as "lncRNA (ENSCHIG00010023603.1)". Lineage: Eukaryota; Metazoa; Chordata; Mammalia; Artiodactyla; Bovidae. The record is from RNAcentral.
AUGCAUUCAUUCAUUCAACAAAUACUGAGUGCCUGCUGUGUUUUAUGGCAGGCAUCAUCUUUGAAGAGUUUUGCUAUAAAGGAAGGUAAAACAUCAAGCACAUUGAUAGUUAAAGUGUUUCACCUUGCAGACCUCUGGGGAGAUUGCUAUGGAUUUAGAAGUUGUGCUCAUCUCAGGCAAAAUACAGGAAUUGAUGACAUAUGGCAAAAAGUUUUUUUCUUCACGGAAGCUAGCAAAAGGAGACAGAAAGGGAAUACAAGCUCAUGGAAUGCUGUGUAAAUGCCCUGGUGACAUCCUUUAAAGAGACUAUCUUAGCAGAGUGCCAAGGCAUGAUCAAGCGAAACGAAACUGAAAGUAGGUAAAACACUACAUGAAGUUAUCAUACUCUUUUAAUAGGAUAUCUUUGAAGCACAUCACUUUAAAUACAUUACAGUUAGAUCAUUCUUUUAUACAUAGGUACUUUCAUUAUGGCAAACUGUGUAAAGAAAAGGAUCAAAAUAUUUAGCAUAGUUAGAAAUNNNNNNNNNNNNNNNNNNNNNNNNNAUUUUAAGCAUUUUUUUCUCCUUGGGUAUCAGUAUGUUUGUAUGUGCUCAUGUACAUUUCAAUUUGUUCUCAAAAGUAAAACUCUGCUUUUAAAGGCUAAUUUAAAUGAUAAAUGUACAGUAUAGGAUAGAACUAGGUAAUUUGACUUCUGUGUGGAACUGUAUGACAAGUAUUUUUAGAAAGCAAUAAAACUCCCUGUGUUGGUAAUCUUGAUCCCUCUCCCCCAUAAGGUUAUAUUUGCGGAUGUAGAAAGUACAUUAAUACCAAAAGAAAUACAUACCAAAAAGAAAAAAUACCCAUAUCCUUACUGCUCAGAGACAACCACUUUUAACAUUUUGAUGUAUUGCUCUCUAGAUUUCAUGUUAUAAAAUUGCAAGGUCCUAUUUAAUCUAGUUGCAUUUGAAGUAUGUAUUUCAGUUCACUUAAAUCUAUACAUUCUUCAGAAGUAUUUUUGUAGUAAAAGCAAGUUUCUCACUUGGUACAAAUGAAAUAUUUGAAUUUCUGUAUGCCAAACUAAGUAGCGUCCACUGAUCCAAGGUGGGGGUUAACAGGAGAAAGUUUUAUAAACUGAAAAAUUCUUUAUGAAUACAGUUUUAUAUUAUCUUAUUACUCUGAAUAAUCUGAGGACAUGAUUAUUUUACCCCUUGAUGUUGCUGUGUAUCAUGUGUUUAAUAUUACAUCUAACUUAUGAAAUGUACUUAUCUUCUGUGUAAACUUUUGUGUUUCUUAGAAUAAAUAUUUUCCAUUUUAUUGAAAGUCAGAUGACUCACCUUUUAAGAGGAGUUGGGUUUUACAGUAUGUGAUCACUUUUAGAGUUUCUUUUAAAAAUAAUUUGUGUCAGACUGAGAAGGUAGGUCAGGCAGUUAUAGUAUUAUGCUUAUGCUUAUUAUAACAACUCCUAAACUAAUUGUACUCGCAGAAUAUUGUUAAAGCUGUCAGCUUC